Molecule: non-coding RNA, 554 nt
Organism: Zootermopsis nevadensis
Lineage: Eukaryota; Metazoa; Arthropoda; Insecta; Blattodea; Termopsidae
Source: RefSeq, a predicted model, not a curated record
GUGAUAGUAAUGUACCCGCGACCCAACAUCUACACGUGCACAGUUCGUGUCUGGCUGAGAGAAAUUGGUUUCUCGCUGAAGACAUGGAGGAAGGAUUUCCGUGAUUUUCCGAGUGAGGUUAGCCAAAGCUGUGAACAUCACAGGUCCGGACCUUCUGAAGAGACUUGGAGUGAUCGUCACCAUUUUCAGCGUGUUCCUGGUGAUACGAACGCUUGUGAUCGUGGGGACAACAGCUGACGAUCUGAAAGCGUUUCUUUGCCGCACCGACUGGUGGGAUCAUUCCUUCACCACACAACUUCAACAGUGACUCCGGUGAAAGAUAAAUUGAACGCGCCUGAAGAACGGGAGGGACCAAGUCCAAUCUCACGCACAAAACUAGAUUUCUAGAAUAUUCAAACAACUUCUAGGUUACGGUAACCUAAUAUUGAUCCCGAUAGUAAGAAAUCUGCGCAUCAUUAUGCUUCACAAACCAGUUCAAGUUAUCUCCUGCAUCAUUAUUGAUGAAACUUUAUAUUGAUUUUCUUGCGAAUUUAGUUUUGGUUUGAACUUGACAA